AAUUGGAAAGAGGAGUGGCGGACGGGUGAGUAACACGUGGGUAACCUACCCAUCAGAGGGGGAUAACACUUGGAAACAGGUGCUAAUACCGCAUAACAGUUUAUGCCGCAUGGCAUAAGAGUGAAAGGCGCUUUCGGGUGUCGCUGAUGGAUGGACCCGCGGUGCAUUAGCUAGUUGGUGAGGUAACGGCUCACCAAGGCCACGAUGCAUAGCCGACCUGAGAGGGUGAUCGGCCACACUGGGACUGAGACACGGCCCAGACUCCUACGGGAGGCAGCAGUAGGGAAUCUUCGGCAAUGGACGAAAGUCUGACCGAGCCACGCCGCGUGAGUGAAGAAGGUUUUCGGAUCGUAAAACUCUGUUGUUAGAGAAGAACAAGGACGUUAGUAACUGAACGUCCCCUGACGGUAUCUAACCAGAAAGCCACGGCUAACUACGUGCCAGCAGCCGCGGUAAUACGUAGGUGGCAAGCGUUGUCCGGAUUUAUUGGGCGUAAAGCGAGCGCAGGCGGUUUCUUAAGUCUGAUGUGAAAGCCCCCGGCUCAACCGGGGAGGGUCAUUGGAAACUGGGAGACUUGAGUGCAGAAGAGGAGAGUGGAAUUCCAUGUGUAGCGGUGAAAUGCGUAGAUAU
RNAcentral lists this ribosomal RNA (630 nucleotides) under Enterococcus faecalis. RNAcentral describes it as "bacterial SSU rRNA". It matches the Rfam family "Bacterial small subunit ribosomal RNA", at positions 81 to 697 of the family's 1533-position model. Lineage: Bacteria; Bacillati; Bacillota; Bacilli; Lactobacillales; Enterococcaceae. The record is from RNAcentral.